UGCCAGACUCCUACGGGAGGCAGCAGUGGGGAAUAUUGCACAAUGGGGGAAACCCUGAUGCAGCGACGCCGCGUGGGUGAAGGAGCGUUUCGGCGCGUAAAGCCCUGUCAGCGGGGAAGAAGAAAGACGGUACCCGACCAAGAAGCCCCGGCUAACUAUGUGCCAGCAGCCGCGGUAAUACAUAGGGGGCAAGCGUUAUCCGGAAUUAUUGGGUGUAAAGGGUGCGUAGACGGAAGAACAAGUUGGUUGUGAAAUCCCUCGGCUCAACUGAGGAACUGCAACCAAAACUAUUCUCCUUGAGUGUCGGAGAGGAAAGUGGAAUUCCUAGUGUAGCGGUGAAAUGCGUAGAUAUUAGGAGGAACACCAGUGGCGAAGGCGACUUUCUGGACGAUAACUGACGUUGAGGCACGAAAGUGUGGGGAGCAAACAGGAUUAGAUACCCCUGUA
Molecule: ribosomal RNA, 447 nt
Filed under: uncultured bacterium
Lineage: Bacteria
Description: bacterial SSU rRNA
Rfam family: Bacterial small subunit ribosomal RNA
Source: RNAcentral